RNAcentral lists this ribosomal RNA (446 nucleotides) under uncultured bacterium. RNAcentral's name for it is "partial 16S ribosomal RNA". It matches the Rfam family "Bacterial small subunit ribosomal RNA", at positions 338 to 795 of the family's 1533-position model. The record is from RNAcentral.
CCUACGGGGGGCAGCAGUAGGGAAUUUUCGGCAAUGGGGGGAACCCUGACCGAGCAACGCCGCGUGAACGAAGAAGUUAUUCGUAAUGUAAAGUUCUUUUAACAGGGAAGAAAGAGAAAUUUGACGGUACCUGAAGAAUAAGCUCCGGCUAACUACGUGCCAGCAGCCGCGGUAAUACGUAGGGAGCGAUCGUUAUCCGGAAUUAUUGGGCGUAAAGGGUGCGUAGAUGGCAUAGUAAGUCUUUUGUAAAAAUGCUGGGCGCAACCCAGUAGGGCAAAAGAUACUGCAAAGCUAGAGUAUGACAGAGGCAAGUGGAACGACAUGUGUAGCGGUAAAAUGCGUAGAUAUAUGUAAGAACACCAGUGGCGAAGGCGGCUUGCUGGGUCGAUACUGACAUUGAGGCACGAAAGCGUGGGGAGCAAACAGGAUUAGAUACCCGGGUAGUC